AUUGAACGCUGGCGGCAUGCCUUACACAUGCAAGUCGAACGGCAGCACGGGUGCUUGCACCUGGUGGCGAGUGGCGAACGGGUGAGUAAUACAUCGGAACGUACCUUAUCGUGGGGGAUAACGCAGCGAACGCUGUGCUAAUACCGCAUACGCCCUGAGGUGGAAAGCGGGGGAGCGAAAGACCUCGCGCGAUUAGAGCGGCCGAUGCCUGAUUAGCUUGUUGGUGGGGUAACAGCCCACCAAGGCGACGAUCAGUAGCUGGUCUGAGAGGACGAUCAGCAACACUGGGACUGGGACACGGCCCAGACUCCUACGGGAGGCAGCAGUGGGGAAUUUUGGACAAUGGGGGCAACCCUGAUCCGGCAAUGCCGCGUGAGUGAAGAAGGCCUUCGGGUUGUAAAGCUCUUUUGUCAGGGAAGAAACACCGGCUCUAACACAGUCCGGGAAUGACGGUACCUGAAGAAUAAGCACCGGCUAACUACGUGCCAGCAGCCGCAGUAA
RNAcentral lists this ribosomal RNA (501 nucleotides) under uncultured bacterium. RNAcentral describes it as "partial 16S ribosomal RNA". It matches the Rfam family "Bacterial small subunit ribosomal RNA", at positions 29 to 523 of the family's 1533-position model. The record is from RNAcentral.